This 501-nucleotide ribosomal RNA is filed under the name uncultured bacterium. RNAcentral's name for it is "bacterial SSU rRNA". It matches the Rfam family "Bacterial small subunit ribosomal RNA", at positions 28 to 524 of the family's 1533-position model. The record is from RNAcentral.
GAUUAACGCUAGCGGCAGGCCUAAUACAUGCAAGUCGAACGGGAUUCAAAGUAGCAAUAUUUUGAUGAGAGUGGCGCACGGGUGAGUAACACGUAUGCAAUUUACCUUUAACUGGGGGAUAGCCCUCCGAAAGGAGGAUUAAUACCGCAUAAUAUAUUGAAAUGGCAUCAUUUUAAUAUUAAACCUACGGGGGUUAAAGAUGAGCAUGCAUCCGAUUAGCUAGUUGGUGUGGUAACGGCUCACCAAGGCAACGAUCGGUAGGGGGUCUGAGAGGAUGAUCCCCCACACUGGUACUGAGACACGGACCAGACUCCUACGGGAGGCAGCAGUAAGGAAUAUUGGACAAUGGAGGCAACUCUGAUCCAGCCAUGCCGCGUGAAGGAUUAAGGCCCUAUGGGUUGUAAACUUCUUUUAGACGGGACAAAACCCCUUUACGUGUAAAGGGUUGAUGGUACUGUCAGAAUAAGCAUCGGCUAACUUCGUGCCAGCAGCCGCGGUAAA